GGGGGUGCCAAGGUUUCGACGGGGAUUGGAAGCGAAGGUUGCAUGCCGGAGUGGGCAGGCUCCGUAAAAAAGCCCAACACAUACAAACGCCGAUACUGACGUUCGUUACGCACUGGCCGCUUAAAUAAGCGACCACGUUUCUUGACCCAUCGCCCGUGUGGGACUUGAAACGUUAUUCAGCGGGAUAGUUUCAGUGAGUGUCUGCGGCACUGGGGCGAAAUCAAGCAGGCUCGCCCGAAGGAAAUCCUGUUCGUGGGAGUUUCAAGGGUUAAUUCAAUACACGAACUAAGCAUGUAGAAGCCUUACGUGAAAGAUUUUCGGACGCGGGUUCGAUUCCCGCCACCUCCACCA
This 351-nucleotide transfer-messenger RNA is filed under the name Desulfuromonas sp. It matches the Rfam family "transfer-messenger RNA". Rfam says of the family: Bacterial tmRNA, also known as 10Sa RNA or SsrA, is named for its dual tRNA and mRNA-like properties. Its role is to liberate the mRNA from a stalled ribosome. To accomplish this part of the tmRNA is used as a reading frame that ends in a translation stop signal. The record is from RNAcentral. RNAcentral also lists the same sequence under 1 other name. Lineage: Bacteria; Pseudomonadati; Thermodesulfobacteriota; Desulfuromonadia; Desulfuromonadales; Desulfuromonadaceae.